CCCUGAUUAAAAAUAGCCUUUAUUCCAGUGCAUUAGUUUAAUCUGUUGAUUCAUCAUUGUUUGUUUUUGUCGGUCUGUUGUUUAGAGCGCUCAUUGUUUUGUUUUUCAGGUGCGCGUGGGUACUGUUCUUCCCCGUGCCGUCCGGGGACAGAAGUACCAGACCAUUUAUACAGCUUUAUUACUUUCUAUCAAUAUUUGUUUUCUUUCCUGGAUCAGCUGAUGAUGAUCGACAAUACCGCUAGACAACUAUCCUACAGCUAGACACCAAUGAUCAUCCAAUCCAUCCAACAAGCAUAUGUUAAUGACAGUAGGCCUAUAGUUGACUCUUUGGGUUAGAAGCAUUACAUUUUGCAAUGGCAUAGUCCGACAUUAUUGUGGAUUUGUGUGCCCAUGAGAACUGUUUUUCACAAGAAACAUCAUGAAAUGUUACUUAGGCAUAGUUAGACUUACAGUGCAUUUUCCGAGAUCUCCAAGAUCCAUGAUUCGUACAGGGUUUAAGUCACAUUUUCUAAUUCAAUUGGUAAAUGCUUAGUAAUUGUCACGCCCUGAUCUGUUUCACCUGACUUUGUGCUUGUUUCCACCCCCCUCCAGGUGUCGCCCAUCUUCCCCAUUAUCCCCUGUGUACUUAUAGACACCUCCAGGUGUCGCCCAUCUUCCCCAUUAUCCCCUGUGUACUUAUACACACCUCCAGGUGUCGCCCAUCUUCCCCAUUAUCCCCUGUGUACUUAUACACACCUCCAGGUGUCGCCCAGCUUCCCCAUUAUCCCCUGUGUACUUAUACACACCUCCAGGUGUCGCCCAUCUUCCCCAUUAUCCCCUGUGUACUUAUACCUGUGUUUUCUGUCUGUCUGUUGUCAGUUGGUCUUGUUUGUCAAGCUUACCAGCGGUCGUCCUGUCAGCUCCUGUCUUUUCCCAGCCUCGCUUUCUCUCGUCCUCCUGGUUUUUGACCCUUGCCUGUCCUGACCCUGUACCUGCCUGCCGUCCUGUACCUUUGCUCCUACUCUGGAUUGUCGACCCCUGCCUGCCUUGACCUGUCAUUUGCCUGACCCGGUGGUUACAAUAAACAUUGUUACUUCACAUAGUCUGCACUUGGGUCUUACCUUGAUUCCUGAGAGUAAUGACAAAUAACACUGUCAUAAAUGGCAUUAAUGUAAAGAAAGAAUGGUUGUGUUUUAUGUCACACGAUCUGUGAAGACUCCAAGCAUUUAACUCAUUAAAUAUGGACUCAUGAACUAGGGUGUAAAACAUGAUUUAAUUGAACUCAUGUAUUAUAUUCAAUGUAGACUACCUAUUCUGCGUGUGUUCCUGUGUUUAAAAUGGCCUUGGUUGAGAGGGUAGGCUACCGGCAGGGGUGUAGGCCCCCGACACUGAAAGCAUGGGGAGAGUUACUUUUUUACACCAUUACCGCCAAUCAGAGUUAACCCACCUAUGUUUUGGAACAUUAUAUCACUGGCUACCGGUAGGCAUAUUUGAAGUCCAGGAUCCAGUUGCAGAGGGAGGUGUUCAGCCCCAUUGUCCUGAGCUUGGUGAUGAGCUUGGAGGGGACUAUGGCGUUGAACGCUGAGCUGUAGUCAAUGAACAUAAUUCUUACAAAGAUAUUCCUUUUGUCCAGGUGGGUGAGGGCAGUGUGGAGUGCAAUAAAGAUUGCGUCAUCUGUGGAUCUGUUGGGGCGGUAUGCAAAUUGGAGUGGGUCCAGGGUGUCUGGGGUGAUGGUGUUGAUGUGAGCCAUGACCAGCCUUUCAAAGCUAUAGAUGUGAGAACGACGGGGCGAUAGUAAUUUAGGCAGGUUACUUUGGCAUUCUUGGGCACGGGGACUAUGGUGGUCCGUGCUUCUACACCUGCAUUGCUUGCUGUUUGGGGUUUUAGGCUGGGUUUCUGUACAGCGCUUUGAGAUAUCAGCUGAUGUACGAAGGGCUAUAUAAAUACAUUUGAUUUGAUUUGAUUUGGUAGUCUGCUUGAAACAAGUUGGUAUUACAGACCGGGUCAAGGAUAGGGGAUUUCUUAUUUUUAGUUAUUUUUACUGGAUUGUUGGGUUUAGAGCUUGCAAGAAAAGCAUUCACUGUACUUGUGCACAUGACAUUAAAACUUGAAAAUGUAAAAUGUCAGUGAAGACACUUGCAAGCUGGUCAGAGCAUGCUCUGAGUAUGCAUCCUGGUAUUUCGUCUGUCCCCGUUGCUUUGUGAAUGUUAACCUGUUUAAAGGUCUUACUUACAUUGGCUAUUAAGAGCAAGAUCACACAGUCUUUCGGAACAACUGGUGCUCUCAUAUGCAUGGUUCAGUGUUGCUUGCGAGCAUUGAAGACAUUUAGCUCUUCUGGUAGGAUCGCGUCGCUGGGCAUCUCACGGCUGGGUUUCCCUUUUGUAAUCCGUGAUAGUUUGCAAACCCUGCCACAUCUGUCAAGCGUCCGAGCCGGUGUAGUGUGAUUCGAUUUUAGCCCUGUAUUGACACUGCCUGUUUGAUGGCUAACAUUUCAAAUAGACAGGAAGGCACAUUAUUCAGUGUGUGUUCCAAAUACUGCCACUCACAAAUGCAUCACAUGCAGUUGACUUACUUUAAAAAAUCAUGAUGCAGAGAUUGUUUUAUGGUAUUUUUUGCACAGAUCUGG
Molecule: long non-coding RNA, 2605 nt
Organism: Oncorhynchus tshawytscha (Chinook salmon)
Lineage: Eukaryota; Metazoa; Chordata; Actinopteri; Salmoniformes; Salmonidae
Source: Ensembl